GUUGCCGGCCUCCCAUCAAGGGCGCACCUGCUGCUCUUCAGUCUCCUUGGCACAGUGUGGAGCUGUUGCCCGCGAAUUAACAAAGAACACUCGAGAAUCGCCGCGUAACGAUCGCAGCGAGGGCACCGCCACGUGUGUUGUAGUCUAUUACACAGAUAAGCACAAGUGUUAGAACCCCUCCCCUCUCCCCUGCUGUCGCGAGGAUGGACCCUGCAUCAAGGGUAAGUCUUAUGAACGUGACGGUGCUUACCUGCAUUUUGGUCCUUUACAUUGCACACGACGCAGGCUUCCGCUUCUGGAUGACGCGCAGCGAUACUGUCCCACUCACAGCAGCCCUCGUGCACGACACUAAGGUACUGCAACAGUACGGCGACGUAGGUUUGGCCUAUGAUGCCGCCAUCGGGCACGUGCGGACCCCUCCUCUCCAACUUUACUCCAUCAAUGCUGAGCGCUUCGCCGCCAACUACACUGCACCGAUGAGGGCCGCCGCUGCCGAGACCGCUAGCCAAAACGAUGCGCCACGCCCAAGCUCCGCACCGUCUGCCACCGACAACACCUUUUCCGAUGCACUUCCAAUGGCAGCGGUGGUGGUGGAGAGCACGUGGCUCACCCCUGACCAGGACGCUGUCUCCUCCGUGUACGCGCAGCGGCUGCUGGAAGGGUACCGUUACGCUCUGCUCAGCGGCGCACCGUGGCUACUGCUCUCCGGUUCUGCAGCGGAGGCGUCAGUGGGACUGCAGUUUCUGCGGCUCCUGCCCAACCCAGCCGAGAGGAUCUUCCCGGACUCUGUGCUAGAGCGGUGGCCUCUGCCGCUCGUCACCGCGGCACUGCAGCUGCGCGAAUCAAUGGCACCGUAUGAGACUCUUGGAGCGUGGGUGCACGGCGCGGGCACGAGACCGCUCAACUCCUUCCCCGCCUCCUCGAUGACUUCACGAGCGAGCCAAGGGCAGGAUGCUCAUCAAAGCCCGGUGCCGGGUCAGGCGUCUCUGCAGUCGUCCCUCAGCCAGCUGCUCUCGGCCUACUCCUUGGCAGUGACAAGCGCGGGCCAUGUACGCCCAGCCUCGCUCAUCCUGGGUGCGGAGUGGAUGCGGCGCAUGGAUGCCCAGCACCGGAGCAGCAGCUCCGCCACCAACGUUAACGGUGCCACGAGAGCUGCGGCCGACGGCCACGCGGCGCCUGAGCAGCCACGCGUGACGGUGUACGCGACAAAGCCUGACGCCGACGAUGGCGACGAUGAUCUGAAAAUCGAAAAGAACGAGGAUGGAGGUGCCUCCAAGGACGCGGCCAGCGCUCCCUGGGAGCAGCCGCGGGUGCUCGAGCUUCACGUGAACAACACUUCCACAGCGGUGCACGUGACUGUGCCUGGCAUGGUGAUGAUCAGCGACGCGAACGCCAACAAGCGUGCUCAGCACGUGGCGAGGGCAGUUCAGCAGCUGGUGGAACUGACACUUGUGCACCGCUAUGCCGCUCGCAGCUCCAGCAGCUCCAGUGCGCCAAUGGACGCAGAGAGGGAGGUGGGGUGGUGGUGGUGGCUCGGUAGGCCCUACGGCGUGACGGUCAUCGCUGGCAGGUGGGAACAGCAGCGUGUCAAGCUUCUCUACAUGAAGGCCUUCCGUGAGGCCGUGGCUGACUCGCAGGAAGGGCUGCGAAAAGCAGUGCAGCUGCUCCAUCAAUCUCGCUGUCAGUUUGAAAGACCUCUGCUGCCACUGCCAUGCCACGGCAUUCGCGGUCCACAACUCCCACCAUCAGCGCUGCCUUUCAGCACCGCGGUGCCGGCGCGCUCGCGCAUCUUCGUGCUGCCCCCGCCAUAUGAGGAUCUGCAGAGCGUCCAGCCGAAGCCGGAGUGGCUCAACUACACAGGUGAGCUGCCCGCGUCCAUCAACGCAGAGGCGUCGCGUGUGGCGAAGCUGCUGGGUCGCGUGAGUUUCUUCCUGUACUUGAACUACCGCCGGUGGAUGGACUGGUUUCUGGCGUCGCUGCCGGUGGGGUCUUACCAGGAUCACUUUGUGCUCAUAUCGGUGCUGAUGUCCGACUUCGCCGAGCACCGCAUCAGCUGGAUGGAUGUGCUACACCUCCGCUAAGGCGGAGGACGAGGGGCGAGGAAGGUAGGUUAGAGACCUCGUCUGCCUUCUCAUCCUGCGCCGUAUAACGUGGCGGUGUGAGGUAGCCUGUGUGCAUGCCUGUUUAGGUGUGUCUUGGCAGCACUGUAGCUGCUGAGUGCGUGGGCGACUUCUCAGAUGAUGGGCUGCUUCAUCAAAUAACGGCAAGGAAAGGGUGGACUCAAGCGAAUAGAUGGUGCUUCGCUCCCAUACCGCGCAUGUAUGCGUGCGCCGGUGGAGGACAGGGCGUUGUUCGUUUAACGGACCCCAUCCUUUGCAUGGGGAAGGGUGGGGGGGCGUUGAGGAAGGGGGGUCUCCUUAUGCUGCGCAGACAGACACCGAUGUGCUCAUGGGGGAGCCCCCGCCUCUCCUCCCCAUCGUUCAGUGUAACUUCAUGGCCAGUGAAACGAGUGCAGGGGUGCGCAUGUUGGCGGUGGAAGAAAUGGAAGGAUGAAGGCGGUAUUUUAACCGUCUGCUGACCAGGUGCAGCGCGUGUGUGCGCCUCUCUCAACUUUCGUCAGCACGCGCCCCCUCAUUGAGGGCCGUCGCUCUCCGCGGUCUCUGAUCACCAAAUGACCUGCUUCCUCUGUCUCCGCCUCUCCCCACCUACCCACCCCCACCAUCCUCCCUCGGCAACUCGUCCAUUCGACGCAUACAUAU
Molecule: unclassified non-coding RNA, 2759 nt
Filed under: Leishmania donovani
Lineage: Eukaryota; Euglenozoa; Kinetoplastea; Trypanosomatida; Trypanosomatidae
Description: gene:LdHU3.24.0490(CDS-product:hypothetical_prote in_conserved)
Source: RNAcentral